RNAcentral lists this ribosomal RNA (253 nucleotides) under Limosilactobacillus mucosae. Its description in RNAcentral is "partial 16S ribosomal RNA". It matches the Rfam family "Bacterial small subunit ribosomal RNA", at positions 524 to 776 of the family's 1533-position model. Lineage: Bacteria; Bacillati; Bacillota; Bacilli; Lactobacillales; Lactobacillaceae. The record is from RNAcentral.
UACGUAGGUGGCAAGCGUUAUCCGGAUUUAUUGGGCGUAAAGCGAGCGCAGGCGGUUUGAUAAGUCUGAUGUGAAAGCCUUUGGCUUAACCAAAGAAGUGCAUCGGAAACUGUCAGGCUUGAGUGCAGAAGAGGACAGUGGAACUCCAUGUGUAGCGGUGGAAUGCGUAGAUAUAUGGAAGAACACCAGUGGCGAAGGCGGCUGUCUGGUCUGCAACUGACGCUGAGGCUCGAAAGCAUGGGUAGCGAACAGG